RNAcentral lists this transfer RNA (87 nucleotides) under Pseudomonadota bacterium. RNAcentral's name for it is "tRNA-Ser". It matches the Rfam family "tRNA". Rfam says of the family: Transfer RNA (tRNA) molecules are approximately 80 nucleotides in length. Their secondary structure includes four short double-helical elements and three loops (D, anti-codon, and T loops). Lineage: Bacteria; Pseudomonadati; Pseudomonadota. The record is from RNAcentral. RNAcentral also lists the same sequence under 3 other names.
GGUGGGGUGGCAGAGUGGUCGAAUGCGCCGGUCUUGAAAACCGGUAACGGUGCAAGCCGUUCAGGGGUUCGAAUCCCCUCCCCACCG